Molecule: long non-coding RNA, 275 nt
Filed under: Ananas comosus (pineapple)
Lineage: Eukaryota; Viridiplantae; Streptophyta; Magnoliopsida; Poales; Bromeliaceae
Description: long non-coding RNA (ACOM_LNC034961)
Source: RNAcentral
UAAACGAGCAAGAAUACGAGCGAGCUGAGGUCGACUCGUGUUCGGCUCGGUUAUUAAAGGAGCCGAAUACGAGCUGGCUCGUUAAAGUAUCGAGCCGAAAAAUUCAACUCGUGUUCGGCUUAUUUAUUAACGAGCUGGCUCACGAGCUGGCCAACGAACAAUAAAUUAAAAAAAAUUAAAUUAAAUAUAUAUAAAAAAUAAAUUUAUAAAAUAUUAUCCAUUAGAUUUUGAUCUAAUAGUUGAAACUUUACAUAUAAAUGAGUCUUUUUAUAAUU